GAUGAACGCUGGCGGCGUGCCUAAUACAUGCAAGUCGAGCGAACAGAUGAGGAGCUUGCUCCUCUGACGUUAGCGGCGGACGGGUGAGUAACACGUGGAUAACCUACCUAUAAGACUGGGAUAACUUCGGGAAACCGGAGCUAAUACCGGAUAAUAUAUUGAACCGCAUGGUUCAAUAGUGAAAGACGGUUUUGCUGUCACUUAUAGAUGGAUCCGCGCCGCAUUAGCUAGUUGGUAAGGUAACGGCUUACCAAGGCAACGAUGCGUAGCCGACCUGAGAGGGUGAUCGGCCACACUGGAACUGAGACACGGUCCAGACUCCUACGGGAGGCAGCAGUGGGAAUCUUCCGCAAUGGGCGAAAGCCUGACGGAGCAACGCCGCGUGAGUGAUGAAGGUCUUCGGAUCGUAAAACUCUGUUAUUAGGGAAGAACAAAUGUGUAAGUAACUAUGCACGUCUUGACGGUACCUAAUCAGAAAGCCACGGCUAACUACGUG
This 496-nucleotide ribosomal RNA is filed under the name uncultured bacterium. RNAcentral describes it as "partial 16S ribosomal RNA". It matches the Rfam family "Bacterial small subunit ribosomal RNA", at positions 28 to 507 of the family's 1533-position model. The record is from RNAcentral.